RNAcentral lists this ribosomal RNA (790 nucleotides) under uncultured archaeon. RNAcentral describes it as "bacterial SSU rRNA". It matches the Rfam family "Archaeal small subunit ribosomal RNA", at positions 85 to 876 of the family's 1478-position model. The record is from RNAcentral.
ACGGCUCAGUAACACGUGGACAACCUACCCUUGGGACGGGGAUAAACCCGGGAAACUGGGUAUAAUACCCGAUAGUUCUGGGAAGCUGGAAUGCUUCCAGGACGAAAGCUCCGGCGCCCAAGGAUGGGUCUGCGGCCUAUCAGGUAGUAGUGGGUGUAAUGUACCUACUAGCCUACGACGGGUACGGGUUGUGAGAGCAAGAGCCCGGAGAUGGAUUCUGAGACACGAAUCCAGGCCCUACGGGGUGCAGCAGGCGCGAAAACUUUACAAUGCUGGCAACAGCGAUAAGGGGACCUCGAGUGCCAGGAUACAAUCUUGGCUGUCGUAAUGCCUAAAAAGCAUUUCAUAGCAAGGGCCGGGCAAGACCGGUGCCAGCCGCCGCGGUAACACCGGCGGCUCGAGUGGUAACCGCUAUUAUUGGGUCUAAAGGGUCUGUAGCCGGCCGGAUAAGUCUUUUGGGAAAUCCAGCUGCUCAACAGUUGGGCUUUCAGAAGAUACUGUUCGGCUCGAGACCGGGAGAGGUGAGAGGUACUUCAGGGGUGGGGGUGAAAUCUUGUAAUCCUUGAAGGACCACCAGUGGCGAAGGCGUCUCACCAGAACGGAUCUGACGGCAAGGGACGAAAGCUAGGGGCACGAACCGGAUUAGGUACCCGGGUAGUCCUAGCCGUAAACGAUACUCGCUAGGUGUCAGCCACGGUGCGACCGUGGUUGGUGCCGUAGGGAAGCCGUGAAGCGAGCCACCUGGGAAGUACGGCCGCAGGGCUGAAACUUAAAGGAAUUGGCGGGGGAG